UACCCAUUGCCCUAAGCCUGAGAGUCA
RNAcentral lists this non-coding RNA (27 nucleotides) under Homo sapiens (human). Lineage: Eukaryota; Metazoa; Chordata; Mammalia; Primates; Hominidae. The record is from RNAcentral.